Molecule: RNA transcript, 655 nt
Organism: Fragaria vesca subsp. vesca
Lineage: Eukaryota; Viridiplantae; Streptophyta; Magnoliopsida; Rosales; Rosaceae
Exons: 3
Source: RefSeq, a predicted model, not a curated record
AAAGUGAGAGAUGGCAUACAUAGGAGAGCCUAGAGAGUUGGGCUAGUAGAUUAGGAUGGAUUGGGAGAAGAGGAGAGUGGAUUUCGAUCAAAAACAGAUGGGAGGAGCAAAGAGAGAGUUUUGGAAAACAGAUAGAAACUUAGUGGGUGUGAGAGGAAAACUUAGUUUGGUCUUGUCUCUGUGUAAGGUUCCGAGGAGGUCGUUGUUGAUCCACAAGAGUAGGCAACAGAGCUAGAGCUUGGGUUUGCGCUGCGCAAUUCGAGGUGUUUUCUCGAAGUGUUUUGGAAAUCUUAUAAUGCAAAUUAGAACCUUCUUGCUUUUGUUUGUAAAUAGAGUUGAAUAAAAAAUAGACGUUAUGAGGAGUAACGCUAUUCUUGUUUUGGUUUGUUUGCUGUUUGUUUGUAAAUACUUUAAACAUGUGUGCUUUUAGCACCCUUUUUAAAGGUUUGUAAUAUAAAUAAAGGUGCGAUCGUUUCUUUUCUUACGUCAUGUAAUGAUAUCAGUCUCAUUUUAAUUAUGGAUAUUAAACUGUCUGUAAUUAGAGUGUGAUUCACAUCUCAACUCGAGAUUAUACAUUUACUCGAGUUGGGGUGUGACAAUUUCUUGCACCCAAAAAUAAAAAUUACAAAUCAAUGUUGUAUAAGCUAUUGUAGUG